GGAUUAGAAACCCGGGUAGUCCACGCCCUAAACUAUGUCAACUGGUUGUCGGGGGAUUAACUCCCUUGGUAACGAAGCUAACGCGUGAAGUUGACCGCCUGGGGAGUACGGCCGCAAGGUUAAAACUCAAAGGAAUUGACGGGGACCCGCACAAGCGGUGGAUUAUGUGGAUUAAUUCGAUGCAACGCGAAAAACCUUACCUACCCUUGACAUGCUAGGAAGCUCGCAGAGAUGUGAGUGUGCCCGAAAGGGAACCUAGACACAGGUGCUGCAUGGCUGUCGUCAGCUCGUGUCGUGAGAUGUUGGGUUAAGUCCCGCAACGAGCGCAACCCUUGCCAUUAGUUGCUACAUUUAGUUGGGCACUCUAAUGGGACUGCCGGUGACAAACCGGAGG
This 394-nucleotide ribosomal RNA is filed under the name uncultured bacterium. RNAcentral describes it as "bacterial SSU rRNA". It matches the Rfam family "Bacterial small subunit ribosomal RNA", at positions 775 to 1169 of the family's 1533-position model. The record is from RNAcentral.